Molecule: long non-coding RNA, 5248 nt
Organism: Equus asinus (donkey)
Lineage: Eukaryota; Metazoa; Chordata; Mammalia; Perissodactyla; Equidae
Source: Ensembl
GUUAUUUUUAUGUCCCCUGUGAGCCUGAGCAUCUUUGCCUAUUAUUCUGGGCCGUUUGUGUUUCCUCUUCUGUGCUGGCUCAGAUCUUUUGACUGUGUUCUUCCUAGGCUCUUUGUCAUUUUCUUGUUGGUUUGUAGCAGCUCUUUAUAUAUUACAGAUCUUAAGCAUCUUCAUAGAUAUUACAAACAUUGCUCCCAGUCUGCUGCUUGUCUUUGGCCUUGUUGAUGGUGCCUUAGCCACUCAAAACGUCUUCAUUUUCUGGUUGUCAGAUCUCUAUCCCUUUUCUAUUAGGGCCCCUGAAAAUAUCUUCCUCAACCCGAGGUAUUAAAAAUGGGGAAAUAAAUGGAGGAAGGGAGAGGCCAAACGGAGAGCUCCUUCCCCAGAGCCCUGUCCAGCCAAAUCUCAAGAACAUCACGGCUUCUCAGGGCUGUUCCUCCUUUUCUCCUCUUAAAACAUAAAAUAACAUGAAAGUCCUACAGUCAAGAAACAGAGUGCUUUUUAUUUGCAUGUGAGGUGGGGGUGCUGAAAAUGGAAGCCAUCCAGUGUCUGCCAAAAAGCCUUAAGCAAGAGGCUGGCCCCGUGGCCUAGUGGUUAAAUUUGGUGCACUCUGCUUUGGCAGCCCGGUGGUGUAGGUCUGCACCCAGGAACUGAACCCUGGCCACCAAAAUGGAGCAUGCCGAACUUAACCACUAGACCACGGGGCCAGCUCCUAAAAUUCUGACUUCUAACACCAUUGCCUAUGUUGCCUGUUCUAGAACUUCAAAAAAAUGUAUUCUUUUGUGUCUGGCUUUUCUUGCUCAACAUUCUGUUGCAUGGAGCUGUGGUUGAUCCAUUCUAGAGUAUGAAUUAGUCAAUUUAUUUAUCCAUUCUUUUGUCGAUGGGCAUUUGGCUUGGUUCCAGUUACAAUGCUGCGAGCACACGGCUCCUGGCUUUUGGUGAACACGCGUGUGCGUUUCUGGGGAGUAGGACUCCAGCGGUGGGUCUGCCGGGUCGUAGGGCAUGCGUGGGUCCAGUUUUAGUAGAUUCUUUAAAAUCGUAUUCCGAAGUCAUCUUACCAGUUGGUGCUCCCACCGGCAAUGUAUGAGAGCUCCGGCUGUGCCAUAUCUGACUGGGUAUUGUCGGUAUUUUUCAUUUUAACCAUUCUAGUGGCAUUUAUUGCAAUUUUAAUUACAUUUCCCUGAUGACUACUUUUAUCAAGUAUCUUCUCAUGGGUUUAUUAACCAUUUGUUUAUCUCCUUCUUUUAGUUUAUAUUAAAUAUUUUCCCUCUUAUAAAGGGAUUGUUUUCUAAUUGAUUUGAAAGUUAUUUAUAUAAUAACUAUAUAACUUAUAAAAUAUAUAUUUCUUUAAAUAUAAAUAUAUUUGUCAAAUAUAUGUAUUGUGAAUAUUUUCUUUGUCUGUACUUGCCUUUUCAUUUCUUAACAGUGUCUUCUGCAGAGCAGAAGGUUUCAAUUUUGAUGAAAUCCAGUUCAUCAUUUUCUUUUAUUAUUUGUACUUUUAAAUUAUUUUUAGUUCUUGUUUUUAUUUUAUCUAUUUAUUUUUAUUUUAUUUUUAAUAAUUCUUAAUUUAUUUUAUUUUUAUAUGUGCACUUAUUUUUAUCUUAUUUGUAUUUAUUACUUACUAAUUUGUUAUUUUUGAAUUUUUAUUUUUAUUAUUUUUUGUUAUUUGUACUUUUUGCGUGAAACCUGAGAAAUCAUUGCCUACCCCCAAGGUUGUGAAGUUUUUCUCCUAGAAGUUUUAUAGUUUUAGACUUCUCCUUUACGUCCAGUUAGUUUCUGUGAUAACGUGAGUUAAGAGUCAAGGUUCGUCUUUCCACGUGUGGGGUCAGUUGUUCCAGCUCCGUUGUUGUGGACGCUGUCAUCCCCCCUUUGAAUUAAUUGGAAGCCUUUAUUGAAGAUCAACAGACCCCGUCCUCGUGGGCCUAUUUCUCGGCUUUACCCCAUCCAGCUGUCGGUCGAAGCUCGUCCCUCUGCCACGUUGUCCCGAUCGCAGUAGCAUCACGGUAUGUCAACGUCCGGCGGCGUAAAUCCUACAACUUUCUUCUUUGUCAAAACAGUUCAUUCUAAGUCCUGUGCGUUUCCAUACGCAUUUUAGGACCAGUUUGUAAUUUCUCCAGAAGCCUGCCGGGAUGUGAGCUGGGGUUGUCCUGACUCUGCAGCUGUUUAGGGAGAACAGACGCGGUGACAUUUGAACCACAGUGAGUGAUCCAAGGCUGCCCGUCCAUGAACAUGGUAUAUCGCUCCCUCUAAAACGAGGCUUCCAGGGCUGCUGUAACUCCUCUCGGCGGCGUUCAGAGUGUCCGCUGGGCAGAUCUGGCACAGCCACAGAGGGAGCCGGCAGCCUAUGUUCACCAGCCCCUGGUGCUGGUCGUCGCUGCACCAGAGAACCUCAGGGCUGGGGCGGGCAGGGAGAAAGCGUCCUCCUCAAUUUCUACAUCUGUUUUCCUGCCCAUGAGUGGAGAUGAUACCCGUGCCCAGCUGAUCCAUGUACUCAGAACAGUGCUUAGCACAUAACAGGUGCUCAGCAAACAGCCGCUACGAUUGCCCCCAAAGCAAGGAGGAAGGUAACCAAGGUGUGCUCGUCAGUCCCCUGUGUGUGACAUCAGAGAGAAACAGGGCCAGUUCCCAAGUCAUAAAUCUGAGGACAGAUCUAGACUUUUCUUCCCCCUUACCUGCCACAUCCAAUCAAUCUCCAAGCCUUGUCCUUUGUGCGUCCUUCUUCUUUUUUGGUGAGGAAGAGUGGCCCUGAGCUAGCAUCUGUGCCAAUCUUCCUCCAUUUUGUAUGCAGGAUGCCACCACAACAUGGCUUGAUGAGCGAUGUGUAGGUCUGCGCCUGGGAUCUGAACCUGCGAAGCCCAGACCGUGGAACCCUGACCACUAAGCCUCCAGCCUGGCCCCACUUCCUCCUUUUUUUUUUUUUCUUUUUAAAUCCAUCUAUUUUUUUGUGGACCAUCACUCCAUCAUUGGGAUCACCUGCAAUGGACCAGAAUCAUUCAGUUUGCUGAUCACCACUCAACACACCCGGGGUCGUCUCCAGGCUUUGGCAGAAACGAACUUCUUCGUAUCUACACCCUUGGGCCCCUGUGGCGUCCUUAUAUCACGUCCUCACCUCCCGCUCUCCUCCCCUCCUCCCUGUCAGCCUCUGCCCCCCUCCUCCCACUGCCACUGCUCUGGUCAAGGUCAGUGGUGACCUCCAUUCUUCUGUCCUCAUCUCAGGAGUAUCCAACGCUGAUGGCUCACUCCUUUUCCUCUAAACCCCAUUUCCACCCCCAACCCCAAAGGAACCACGUUCUCUGAGGGACCCAGUUGCGUGUUGCCAUUUUACCCGCCUGCCAUGAGCUGUUGGGGACAGCACAUGGACCAUCUUUAGGUGACAUAGUAGUUUGAUGGCGCCCUCAUCUCUAUAGAGCGGCUCUGUUCUGGAUAUUGUUUCCUUGCUCACCUUCCUAAGAAGUUCUUGACUCGCCCCCUCCCCUCCCGUGUGCCUGCCCUGACCCGGCUCCUCCCCGCCUCCCCGUGCCUGUUUCCCACGGCUGCCAUAACAAAGGACCACGGAAUAGGUGACUCAGAAUGACAGAAACAUAUUCUCCCACACUUCUGGAGGCCAGAAGUUCCAAAUCAAGGUGGCGGCAGGGCCGUGCACCCCGUGAAACCUGCAGGGGUCCCUCCUGGCCUCGUCUGGCUUCCGGCGCUCUGCUGGCCAUCUGCGUUCCUUGGCUUGUGGCUGCAUCGCUCCAGUCCUCCGUCUCUGCAUGGCUGUCUUCUCCCUCUCUGCGUGUCUCUCUGUGCCCAAAUGUCCCCUAUUUGUAAGGACACAGUCGUAUCGGGUUAGACCGCACCCUGUGAGCUCAUCUUAACUUGAACAUCUGCCGAGACCUUAUUUCCAAAUCAGGUCAUGUUCACAGGCGCUGGAACUAGGACUCCAGACUACCUCUCUGGGGGACACAGCUCAACCCACCACACCCCCUCUAAACCCCCCCUCCACAUGGCCGCCCGAGGGCAGAGCACACACCCGACCCAGUCCUUUCUCUGCUCAAAAUCCUUCCAAGACAGAAUACUAUUCAGCCAUGAAAAGGAACGAAGCACCAAUCCAGGCUACAACAUGGAAGAGCCUCGAAAACACCACGCUGAGCAAAAGAAGCCAGACACAAAGGACCAUAAAUUUAUGUGAAAUGUCCAGAACAGGCAAAUGUGUCCAGCCAGAAAGGGGACGGGUGGUUGCCCAGGGUUGGGGGUUGUGGGCAAUGUGGAGUGACUAAGAAGUCGAAGGUGUCUUUUUGGGGUGACGAAAACGUUCCCCAGUAGGUUGUGGCGAGAGAUGCGCGACUCUGUGAAUAUAGGACAGCCACCGAACUGAACCGUUUGAAUGAGUGCAUUUGAUGGUAUGUGAAUGACAUCUCAAUGAAGCUUCCAAAAAACCAAAAACCCCUUCCCUGGGUCCCCAGCGCCCUCUGGAGGGAGCCCAGCUCAUCGCCUGCCACAUUCUGAGGCUUCCGGGCCGGAUGACCCAGGGUCACACGGUCCCCAACACGUCAUUCACAAGACGCCACGCAGCCACGCACAGCGAGACACUGCCACCGGCACACAGAGUCUGGGGACACCCAGAUCUGGCUGUGACAGACACAGGCUCGCACAGAGACAUGCCACCUAGACCGGGCACCGUGGGACAGACACAGCCGCCCUCGGAGACACACACGCCCCCUUCAGGAACAGUCUCGGCUGAGGACACAGUCCUGGGGGUGCCCUCCCCCCGGUGGCACGUGGACCCCAGUCCUGAGUCCACCCUCGCCAUAGCCACACGACGGUCACACACACACACACACACACACACACACGGAGCCGAGACCGCCUGGCCCUGCCCGUCCGCCCCACACAGCCCACCUCACAGACCCAUCAGGGUGCCCACCUCCUCGGGGCGCAGCCGGCUCAGCGACGCCCACCCCCUGCACAGGUGGCCUUGGAAUGGGGUCCAGCCCCUGGUUCCUCACCCAGGGGCGUGGAGGAGGUAUUUUUAGUUACAAUUAACCUCCAGCCCAAUUUCCCUCCUCGCGGGUGGCACAGCCAAUCGGUUUCAUUAGAGAAGAUUAAGGGGGAGGCAUUCGCAGGCCCCCAGAAAGGUGGGGGGGGGGGGCAAGGAGCUGCCCCUCCCCCACCCCGUGUCCCCCAUCCCCCUCUCCAGGCCAGGCAGGGGCUGCGGGAACCCUGAACCCUUGAGGCAGACCUCCGGCCUGGGCCCCGCCCCGCCCCGCCU